GACCUACCUCUUAGUGGGGGAUAACGGUUGGAAACGACCGCUAAUACCGCAUACGCCCUUCGGGGGAAAGAUUUAUCGCUAAGAGAUGGACCCGCGUUGGAUUAGAUAGUUGGUGAGGUAACGGCUCACCAAGUCAGCGAUCCAUAGCUGGUUUGAGAGGAUGAUCAGCCACACUGGGACUGAGACACGGCCCAGACUCCUACGGGAGGCAGCAGUGGGGAAUAUUGGACAAUGGGGGCAACCCUGAUCCAGCCAUGCCGCGUGAGUGAAGAAGGCCUUCGGGUUGUAAAGCUCUUU
This 297-nucleotide ribosomal RNA is filed under the name marine sediment bacterium BB0608_AND_5.2_11G0. RNAcentral describes it as "partial 16S ribosomal RNA". It matches the Rfam family "Bacterial small subunit ribosomal RNA", at positions 123 to 436 of the family's 1533-position model. The record is from RNAcentral.